CGCGGGGUGGAGCAGUCUGGUAGCUCGUCGGGCUCAUAACCGAAGGUCGUUGGUUCAAAUCAGCCCCCCGCAACCA
Molecule: transfer RNA, 76 nt
Filed under: Pseudomonas brassicae
Lineage: Bacteria; Pseudomonadati; Pseudomonadota; Gammaproteobacteria; Pseudomonadales; Pseudomonadaceae
Description: tRNA-OTHER
Rfam family: tRNA
About the family: Transfer RNA (tRNA) molecules are approximately 80 nucleotides in length. Their secondary structure includes four short double-helical elements and three loops (D, anti-codon, and T loops). Further hydrogen bonds mediate the characteristic L-shaped molecular structure. tRNAs have two regions of fundamental functional importance: the anti-codon, which is responsible for specific mRNA codon recognition, and the 3' end, to which the tRNAs corresponding amino acid is attached (by aminoacyl-tRNA synthetases). tRNAs cope with the degeneracy of the genetic code in two manners: having more than one tRNA (with a specific anti-codon) for a particular amino acid; and 'wobble' base-pairing, i.e. permitting non-standard base-pairing at the 3rd anti-codon position.
Source: RNAcentral